This 497-nucleotide ribosomal RNA is filed under the name uncultured bacterium. RNAcentral describes it as "partial 16S ribosomal RNA". It matches the Rfam family "Bacterial small subunit ribosomal RNA", at positions 28 to 507 of the family's 1533-position model. The record is from RNAcentral.
GAUGAACGCUGGCGGCGUGCCUAAUACAUGCAAGUCGAGCGAACGGACGAGAAGCUUGCUUCUCUGACGUUAGCGGCGGACGGGUGAGUAACACGUGGAUAACCUACCUAUAAGACUGGGAUAACUUCGGGAAACCGGAGCUAAUACCGGAUAAUAUAUUGAACCGCAUGGUUCAAAAGUGAAAGACGGUUUUGCUGUCACUUAUAGAUGGAUCCGCGCCGCAUUAGCUAGUUGGUAAGGUAACGGCUUACCAAGGCAACGAUGCGUAGCCGACCUGAGAGGGUGAUCGGCCACACUGGAACUGAGACACGGUCCAGACUCCUACGGGAGGCAGCAGUAGGGAAUCUUCCGCAAUGGGCGAAAGCCUGACGGAGCAACGCCGCGUGAGUGAUGAAGGUCUUCGGAUCGUAAAACUCUGUUAUUAGGGAAGAACAUAUGUGUAAGUAACUGUGCACAUCUUGACGGUACCUAAUCAGAAAGCCACGGCUAACUACGUG